Molecule: ribosomal RNA, 433 nt
Filed under: uncultured bacterium
Lineage: Bacteria
Description: partial 16S ribosomal RNA
Rfam family: Bacterial small subunit ribosomal RNA
Source: RNAcentral
AACGAACGCUGGCGGCAUGCCUAACACAUGCAAGUCGAACGAGACCUUCGGGUCUAGUUGCGCACGGGUGCGUAACGCGUGGGAUCCUGCCCUUAGGUUCGGACUAACUCCCCGAAAGGGGUGCUAAUACCGGCUAAUGUCUUCGGACCAAAGAUUUAUCGCCUUUGGAUGGGCCCGCGUUGGAUUAGCUAGUUGGUAGGGUAACAGCCUUCCAAGGCGACGAUCAAUAGCUGGUCUGUGAGGAUGAUCCGCGACCCUCGGACUGCGACACAGCCCAGACUCCUACGCGAAGCAGCAGUGGGUAAUAGUGGUAAAGGGGCGAGAGACUGUGCCAGGAAAGCUUCGUGAGUUAUGAAGGCCUUAGAGUUGGAAAGCGCACUUAUCCGGCAGGAGAAUGACAGUACUUGGUGAAUAAGCUCCGGCUAACUCCGUG